AGCCGAACCAAUUGAUUACCUUCGGGUAUGAAGUUAGGGAAGCGAGCGGCGGAUGGGUGAGUAACACGUGGGUAACCUACCCUAUAGUCUGGGAUACCACUUGGAAACAGGUGCUAAUACCGGAUAAAAGGAGAGAUCACAUGAUUUCUUUUUGAAAGGCGGCGUAAGCUGUCGCUAAAGGAUGGACCCGCGGUGCAUUACCUAGUUGGUAAGGUAACGGCUUACCAAGGCAACGAUGCAUAGCCGAGUUGAGAGACUGAUCGGCCACAUUGGGACUGAGACACGGCCCAAACUCCUACGGGAGGCAGCAGUAGGGAAUCUUCCACAAUGGACGCAAGUCUGAUGGAGCAACGCCGCGUGAGUGAAGAAGGUUUUCGGAUCGUAAAGCUCUGUUGUUGGUGAAGAAAGAUAGUGAGAGUAACUGCUCAUUAUUUGCCGGUAAUCAACCAUAAAGUCACGGCUAACUACGUGCCAGCGGCCGCGGUAAUACGUAGGUGGCAAGCGUUGUCCGGAUUUAUUGGGCGUAAAGCGAGCGCAUGCGGAAAGAUAAGUCAGAUGUGAAAGCCCUCGGCUUAACCGAGGAAUAUCAUCGGACACUGUCUUUCUUGAGUGCAGAAGAGGAGAGUGGAACUCCAUGUGUAGCGGUGGAAUGCGUACAUAUAUGGAAGAUCACCAGUGGCGAACGCGGCUCUCUGGUCUGUCACUGACUCUGAGGCUCAAAAGCAUGGUUAGCAAACAUGAUCAGAUACCCUGCUA
Molecule: ribosomal RNA, 756 nt
Filed under: uncultured Lactobacillus sp.
Lineage: Bacteria; Bacillati; Bacillota; Bacilli; Lactobacillales; Lactobacillaceae
Description: bacterial SSU rRNA
Rfam family: Bacterial small subunit ribosomal RNA
Source: RNAcentral